Molecule: ribosomal RNA, 253 nt
Filed under: uncultured bacterium
Lineage: Bacteria
Description: partial 16S ribosomal RNA
Rfam family: Bacterial small subunit ribosomal RNA
Source: RNAcentral
UACGAAGGGUGCAAACGUUGCUCGGAAUUAUUGGGCGUAAAGCGCACGUAGGCGGCAUUGCAAGUCGGAUGUGAAAUCCCUCGGCUUAACCAAGGAAGUGCAUCCGAAACUGCAGUGCUUGAGUACUUAAGAGGAUCGCGGAAUUCCCGGUGUAGAGGUGAAAUUCGUAGAUAUCAGGAGGAACACCGGUGGCGAAGGCGGUUCUCUGGGCAUGUCCUGACGCUGAGGAGCGAAAGUGUGGGGAGCGAACAGG